Molecule: long non-coding RNA, 252 nt
Organism: Leptinotarsa decemlineata (Colorado potato beetle)
Lineage: Eukaryota; Metazoa; Arthropoda; Insecta; Coleoptera; Chrysomelidae
Source: RefSeq, a predicted model, not a curated record
UUUGAAAAGUACCACCGACAGAGGUCAACAACUUGGCCAAUUCACUUACGAUAUAGAGGGUCCUCUUGUACAGACGUUCCCUAUUUCCAAUUCGAAUUCAUAUGAAUUCGUGGAAUUCCGAGUUUUAACGAAUCAUGGUAAUCCGGACUUCACGUGUGUAUAUAGGUUUAGAGUACAUGGCAGUCUGGAGAAAUCCUGAAAACUUUUAUUCUAUAUUUUUAUUUAUAUAUUCAAUAAACCAUAUAAGGUGAA